GAUGAACGCUGGCGGCGUGCCUAAUACAUGCCAGUCGAGCGAACAGACGAGGCGCUUGCUCCUCUGACGUUAGCGGCGGACGGGUGAGUAACACGUGGAUCACCUACCUAUCAGACUGGGAACUUUAGGGAACUCGGGCCAAAAUCCGGUAUAAUCUCUUGAUCCGUGGGGUGAAUUGGAAAAUUUCGGUUUUUGGGGAUUUACUCGCGGAGUAUCAGCUUGUUUGUAAGGUAAUUAGUUACCGAGGUUUCGACGGGUAGCCGACCUGACAGGGUGAUAGGCCACACUGGAACGUAGACACGGUCCAGACGCCUACGGGAGGCAGCAGUAUGGAAUCGUCCGCAAUGGGCGAAAGCAUGACGGAGCAACGCCGCGUGAGUGACGAAGGUCUUCGGAGCGUAAAACUCUGUUAUGAGGUAAGAACAAAUGUGGAAGUAACUAUGCACGUCUUGACGGUACCGAAUCAGAAAGCAACGGCUAACUACGUG
This 488-nucleotide ribosomal RNA is filed under the name uncultured bacterium. RNAcentral's name for it is "partial 16S ribosomal RNA". It matches the Rfam family "Bacterial small subunit ribosomal RNA", at positions 28 to 507 of the family's 1533-position model. The record is from RNAcentral.